AAAAAAAAAAAAAAACAGCAGCAUGUUGGAGAAAUUAAGGAUGGAAUUAAUAAAGAAGAAAUUUAGUUUUGUUUGGUUUGAAUUAGUGGGUUUUGCUGAAGGGGCAUGAUGUUGAUAGGCAGUUUGUUCUUCAUCUUCACUGUUGGAAAAUAGACAAUCUCAUCCUUCUCUGCCACCCAUCGGUAGGUGGUGACAAGAUGGUGGAGGAAAAUUGAGAUUUCAAGCCUUGAAAGUUCUAAACCAGGACAUAGCCUCUGUCCUCCACCAAAGGGUGUAAAUGUAUUGCUGGUCACAGCAACUCCAACUUUCUCCCAUCUGGAGGGAUCAAAAUUGUAUGGAUUUUCAUAAUUUUCUUCAUCCAUGUGAACUGAAGUGAAGGAUGCCAAAACACACCAUCCUUUUGGUAUCAAAUGCCCUUUAAUUUUGACAUCUUUGAGAGAUUUUCUCCAAACUGCAUUAAUGAUAUUUGCCAAUCUCAACGUUUCACUGAUAACAUUCUGAGUGAAGGGCAUUGACAAAUAAUCAGUCCAACUAUAGUCCUCACAACAGCUUAUCUUCUGCUGCUUCAAUUCCAAAUUCUCCUCCAGCAAGCGAUGCAGAGCGACGGGAUUGUCGCUUAGAAAUUUGACGGCUAAGGUGAUCACGGUUGGUACGGUCUCUUCUCCAGGGAUCAUCAUCUCUAUCAAGUUGCCACUGGUGAAAUCAUACGGCAGAGGUUGCUUUGCCCCAUCAGCAUUCCCUAAGAGCACGUCAAUUGCAUCAUUUGGGAAACCCUUUUCUUCUUUUUUCUCCAUGCUUAAUUUUCUCUCCUCUACCAUCUUCUCUACCAUUCUUGUUAACCUUUCUUUCGCCUUUAAUGAUUUGUAGAGAGUGGUUCCAGGAAGCUUAAUGGGCAAACAAAUCAAGCCUUUGGUGAGUUCUUCAAAUUCUUUCUUGAGUAAGUUCAAUUCUUCUCCAGGGUCCACGCCUAGUAUCAGCUUGACUAAUACUUCAAAUGAAAUCUUUUUGGCUUCAUCUUGUAGGUA
RNAcentral lists this unclassified non-coding RNA (1025 nucleotides) under Hevea brasiliensis (rubber tree). The record is from RNAcentral. Lineage: Eukaryota; Viridiplantae; Streptophyta; Magnoliopsida; Malpighiales; Euphorbiaceae.